RNAcentral lists this long non-coding RNA (389 nucleotides) under Theobroma cacao (cacao). Its description in RNAcentral is "long non-coding RNA (TCAC_LNC003433)". Lineage: Eukaryota; Viridiplantae; Streptophyta; Magnoliopsida; Malvales; Malvaceae. The record is from RNAcentral.
CUUAGCGCGACCAGUGAAUAUGCUGCGUGGAAGUGUCAUACCCCCUUGAUUGCUCAAGUUCCAUAAAUUGCCUCCUGCUUUGCUGAGACAAGUCAAGCCCACCAGAAAACUGAUUGUUAACAGGCUCUGUGAUUUGACCCAAGCCCAGGUGAGGGGGCAAUUCGUGAGAGCUGCUACCAGAGUCAUUGCCCUUGAAACCCCAAGAGGCAUUCGAAUAAGGAUUCACAGUUGCACCAUUAGGCGUUGUUGGUUGAGCCACUGAAGACCCUUCGGUAUUCAUCAUGUCGUUUACCCCUAGACUUGAAGCCCGAUUUCUAGAGCCCCAUGGUUGAUUUGACAGAAGAGAGAGAGCACAGCUUGAGUCAGCAACUCCCGUGAAGCAUUCUCCC